RNAcentral lists this non-coding RNA (220 nucleotides) under Shewanella woodyi. RNAcentral describes it as "Lysine sequence". It matches the Rfam family "Lysine riboswitch aptamer". From Rfam's summary of the family: Riboswitches are metabolite binding domains within certain messenger RNAs that serve as precision sensors for their corresponding targets. Allosteric rearrangement of mRNA structure is mediated by ligand binding, and this results in modulation of gene expression. The record is from RNAcentral. Lineage: Bacteria; Pseudomonadati; Pseudomonadota; Gammaproteobacteria; Alteromonadales; Shewanellaceae. RNAcentral also lists the same sequence under 1 other name.
CUGAGAAGUAGAGGUGCAUUAAAUAUUAGUAGUGAUAAUCAGGGUGAUUCCGCUUAUCUAUCAUGAAAGGAUUUAAUGCCGAAGUAGUAAUACAUAUCACGGUUUACUGCUGGGGCUGCAAUCGAAUAGGUGCAGCACUGCCAUAGUAUUUCUUAUCCGGAAGAUAAGAAGAUUUUAUACCUUUUAAUUACUGGUAUUACUAUGGAGCGCUACUGAUAGG